GACGAACCGUGCGAACGUUAUUCGGAAUCAUUGGGCUUAAAGCGCGUGUAGGCGGAUGGGAACGUCGGCUUUGAAAGCCCCCGGCUCAACCGGGGAAUUGGCGCCGAAACGACCCGUCUGGAGGGGCAUAGGGGGAGCUGGAACUUCCGGUGGAGCGGUGAAAUGCGUUGAGAUCGGAAGGAACGCCCGUGGCGAAAGCGAGCUCCUGGAUGUCUUCUGACGCUGAGACGCGAAAGCUAGGGUAGCGAACGGGAUUAGAAACCCGUGUAGU
Molecule: ribosomal RNA, 271 nt
Filed under: uncultured bacterium
Lineage: Bacteria
Description: partial 16S ribosomal RNA
Rfam family: Bacterial small subunit ribosomal RNA
Source: RNAcentral